RNAcentral lists this ribosomal RNA (107 nucleotides) under Acanthosepion pharaonis. Lineage: Eukaryota; Metazoa; Mollusca; Cephalopoda; Sepiida; Sepiidae. The record is from RNAcentral.
UACAGCCAUAUCACAUUGAAACACCGGUUCCAUAUGAUUACCAAAGUUAAGCAACAUCGAGCCUGGUCAGUACCUAGAUGAGUGACCGCUUGGGAAUACCAGGUGCU